This 253-nucleotide ribosomal RNA is filed under the name uncultured bacterium. RNAcentral describes it as "partial 16S ribosomal RNA". It matches the Rfam family "Bacterial small subunit ribosomal RNA", at positions 524 to 776 of the family's 1533-position model. The record is from RNAcentral.
UACGGGGGGGGCAAGCGUUGUUCGGAAUUACUGGGCGUAAAGGGCUCGUAGGUGGCCAACUAAGUCAGACGUGAAAUCCCUCGGCUUAACCGGGGAACUGCGUCUGAUACUGGAUGGCUAGAGUUUGGGAGAGGGAUGCGGAAUUCCAGGUGUAGCGGUGAAAUGCGUAGAUAUCGAGAGGAACACCGGUGGCGAAGGCGGCCUUCUGGACAGUGACUGACGCUGAGACGCGAAAGCGUGGGGAGCAAACAGG